Molecule: ribosomal RNA, 424 nt
Filed under: Verrucomicrobiota bacterium
Lineage: Bacteria; Pseudomonadati; Verrucomicrobiota
Description: Verrucomicrobia bacterium partial 16S ribosomal RNA
Rfam family: Bacterial small subunit ribosomal RNA
Source: RNAcentral
UGAGGAAUAUUGGUCAAUGGACGAGAGUCUGAACCAGCCAAGUAGCGUGCAGGAUGACGGCCCUAUGGGUUGUAAACUGCUUUUGUUUGGGAAUAAUCGACAUUACGUGUAAUGUUUUGCAUGUACCAUUCGAAUAAGGACCGGCUAAUUCCGUGCCAGCAGCCGCGGUAAUACGGAAGGUCCAGGCGUUAUCCGGAUUUAUUGGGUUUAAAGGGAGUGUAGGCGGUUGGUUAAGCGUGUUGUGAAAUGUAGAUGCUCAACAUCUGACUUGCAGCGCGAACUGGCUGCCUUGAGUACACACAACGUAGGCGGAAUUCAUGGUGUAGCGGUGAAAUGCUUCGAUAUCUUGAAGAACUCCGAUUGCGAAGGCAGCUUACGGGAGUGUUACUGACGAUUAAGCUCGAAGGUGCGGGUAUCGAACAGG